CGGUGCAUGGGGCCUGGCCCCACCAGCGGGCACUGGCCCAGAGCCACGGCCGGGGGGCCAUCUAGCUGGAGAGAGAAGGGACAGCAACUCCAUCCGCUCCUGCAACUGCCGGACGUGUGCCUCUAGGUCCCGGUUCCGAGCCUCUGCCUCGCGUAGUUGACUGUGGGGAGGUAAGGACAGAACAAAUCAUGAUUCCCACCUGCCUUUGCCCUUGAGGCUCUCGCCUGACCACCUGGUACCUUUCCUUCCGUGGCUGGUUUCUCCUUCACGAGCACUCAGCUCAAAGAUCAACUCCUCAGAUCCCCAGCCACACACACACCCUUACUUAAUGCCCCACUGUAACUACAGAGACCGUCUCAUGUCUGAAGUAA
This 371-nucleotide non-coding RNA is filed under the name Pongo abelii (Sumatran orangutan). Lineage: Eukaryota; Metazoa; Chordata; Mammalia; Primates; Hominidae. The record is from RNAcentral.